GCUGCCGCGAUGGGUUUACGCCAUCUUGUCCGUCCUGCGGGGGAUCCGGGCCCGGGAGGAUGGAUGGGUGGGGCCGGCGGUGCAGUUCGCAGAACAGAAAGUGUGAGCCCUAGAGUGCGGAGCGCCUGGCGAACGGCACGAGAGCUUGCAGCAGAGCCCCCAACAGGGGCUCCCCUCUUAACUACGGAAACCCCCCCUUUGAAAAGAGGAAGACAACACAGUAACAUUUUAGGAAGAUUAACUGGCAACACUGUACACGCCGGAUGGAUUGGAGGGAAGAGGUCAGAGACGCAGAGACCAACCAGGACAGAACAAUAACAACGCAGGCAUCGAUGGAUAACCACUGGACCAGAGGGGCGGCCGCAGCGCUGGGAAUGACGGGAGAGCGAUUGCAGGGAAAGGACGAGCAGGCCUUGGGGUUUCAUUUGCUUUGAGAGGUGCGGGAGAGAGAAGAGUUACAAAAACUGCAAGUUGGAGACUGGUGGUUGGAAGGAUGAUGGGACCAUCGAUGGAAAUCAGAAAGUCACGAGAGGUCUUCUUCCUGAGGGAAGACAUUAAAUCUAGUUUGUGCUGAGUUGAGAUGAGGUGAUGGUGGGAUACCCAACGAGGCUGUGAGCAGUGGGAGAGGAGAGUGAGCCUUGUGUCUAGGAGGGAGGCUGACAUGCUGGUACGCAGUCACUGCCCCUCCUGGCCUGGUGGUGGGACUCGGCAACUGCCCUCGGACCCCUGGUACCGCCUGGCCCAGCAGGGGCCGCGGGAACUCUGCUUCGGCAAGACAGGCGACAGCAUCCCUUCUGGUCACUCGGCGUCUGUCUGUGCCACUGGUUUCCAGUACGAUUACCAUUUCAAGACGCAGAGACACUGAGUUUAGAGUCAUAGCAAAGAGGGGGCCAGAAGAGAGAAAAAAAAGAGAGAAAGUGACUGGACCCAGAGCAGAGGGCUGGAUGCAGCGCCCAUGUUCAACACCCACAUUAAGAAAGUAGCCCAAGAAAGAAGAAGGAAAAUGGUGUGAAUAUUCAUAGCAGGGUUAUUCAUAAUAGACAAAAAACGGGAAUUACCCAAAUGUCCAUCGACAGACACCAUGUAGCAUGUGUAUACAAGGGAAUUUUAUUCAGCAGUUAAAAGACGGAAGUACUGAUAAAUGCAACCGCAGGAGUCAACCUUGAAAAUGAGCGGCAUGAAAGAAGCCAGACACAAAAGGCCACACACUGGACGAUGCCCCUGACAUGAAGUGUCCAGGCCAGGCAAGUCUGUGGACUGAAAAUAGAGAGGAAGCCGGCUUUUUUGGAUAAAGUGCAGAAGUGUGAGGACUGACUGAACUGGAGGCAACGGGUCUGCAGCAGCCGUUCCGGGAAACAAUGAGUUUGAACUGGGGAGAACAGACGGAUCCAGCCUGGAGGCGGCAGGAAGGCUCGCUGUCAGCACAGACCCAACACGGAGUGGAACACAUUACAUGCCGUGCCCCUCACCCCUUGCUGAAUCUUCCUAGGUACAAACUGGAAGGACUGAGCUCUCCUCAUCCUCCUUGAAGUUCCCAGCCCAGUAGCUGGCUCGUGGUAAGCAGUCACACUUUUCUGAACACGUGGACGGUUGGAGGAACAUGAUAGAGCGCCGUGAGGUUCCAGCGGCUGACACGAGCGCAACCUGUUCUUUUUCUGGGCCACAGGGUUGUUUGUCUCCACCUUUCUGUCCCUUCCGCAGACACUGCCUCAGCAGCUGAAAGCACACAAUGGAACAGUUCGCCUUUCAGCAAACAGAGUGAGCAGUGGAAAAUGGAAAGCGUCAACCCUGAAUGCAAGCGACGGCAUGCUGAAUGCAGUUCCAAGCGGAGGGAAACUGCUUAUUUUCACUGAAACGAAGUCCUCUGAGAAUUGCUUCGCUCCAGUUCUGGCUGUCCUGUUGACAACACUAGUUCACCAAGGCUUAGCACGCCCCCUGUCGGAUUUAGCUGGCAUUUAGUAAGAAGAGGAGCAGUAGAGAAACAUCUAAGUAGGGGUAGGGCCCUUUCUGCAAAAUUCUUUGUUAAUGAGGCAUCAGGUGACGCACGUAUUUACUAGACUACCUCUAGAACCUAAUUUGACUGAUCUCAAAUACUGUCAUUCCUAUUUGAAGAGUAAAAAUAUUUUGCUGAUGGGAAAGCUGAAAUGGCAUGGACUUAAUUCCUUCAGCAAGUACACAGCCACAAAAAUCAAGUCAACCACUAGAAUUUCUCUUCAGCACCACCCUCCACCCCGCCCUGCAACAGGGAGGUUUACAUUGUAAUCUCUAAACGUUCACUGAGAGAGAACUAGUUAAAUAAAUAUAGUGCAUCUGUACUUUGGAAAACAAGACAGCUCCACAUAUACUGAUAUGGAACAAUCUUCAAGAUAUAUUAAUGACUGAAAAAAAUGCUGAGCAAUAUAUAUAUAUAUAUAUUUUGAUGUUAUAUGCAGAGACUUUCUAUGGAAGACUCCACAAGAAAAUAGUAACAAUUAUCUCCUGGGAAGGAAAUUAGGUGCUGCAGACAGGUAGAAAGAAAAGUAAAAAGAAACCUUUUCACUAUAUUUUUGUGUGCUAUUCACACGUUGUAUCUUGUGUGUUACCUAUGAAAAUAACCAACUAAAAAGUGUAAGAACCUUGUGAAGGUUCAGUGAGUUUCUCUACUUUGUCACUUUUCUAGAAAUUUCUAGAGUUUGUCACUCUUUUUUCUAGAAAUCUUACCAAUGCUCAGUGGAAGCAACUUAGACUGCCAAAUACAUUUUCUUUUAAAUUCUAAAAUAAAUUGGCUGACCAAUUUAUUUUAUGACCAAUUUAUGUCUAGCAGGCAUAUAUAUAUGUAUAAUUAAAAAAUUGUUAUACAUAGUUUUAUAUAUUGUAUUUGACUUUAUAUGUCAGCUAUGGUUUUAUACUUGUAUACCGGCUCAUUCUACUUGAAUCUCAAACAAGAAAGUCAUUUGUUUCCGAGAAAGCAGCUAUUGAAGCGUUAGGGGAGUAUUUUUUCCAACAGUCACUGGGACUGCCCCGGGGGGCUACCCCAGACAGCUCUCCGGCUCCCUUCUGGGUUGGUGGGUUCUCCAACUGGGCUGAUGGAGCCCCAGGUGUCCACCAAGCGAUUUUUCCCUCUUCCUAACAAUAAGGCAUGCCAGAGUAGAACAGACCUUUUGCCAAGACCAUCGUCUGUCCAGCUGGGGAAACCCAAGCCUGGUUUCCUAACUGGGGAAAGGUUUGUUGCCUUUCUGGGGGAAAGGCGGGUGGUGCUGCUCCAGGGAACUCACAGUUCCAGGGCUGUGCUGGAGAGCUCAGUGGGCUUGCAUGGGCAGCCUGGACUUCUGAGCUAAGGGUCCGCCUUGGUCCUGCUCCUCGGUACCCAUUACAAUAGAAAAUACGUCUGUAGUUAAUUCUCAGGCUGGCUGGCUCAAAAGCAGCACGGGCCGGCGGCCGCGCCUGCUCAUCCUGUACGAAUGAGAGGUGCAGCGUUAAGGGAGAAAGUGUGGGCGGAGCCCAGGGACCUGGUUUGAGCGCCAAGCCGAUGCUUCCCUGCAGGUGCACUGUGGCAGGUCACUUGCCCUCUCCAGGCCCUCCUGUUCCCGCUGGUCCGGUGAGAAGGUGAGGUCCGACCAUUGCUCUGGUUGCUGAGCGCGGAUCUUCGAGUGUGGAGAGAAGGGUGCGUUCCCAGACCCUGCUCUGAGGUCAGUGCCAGCUAGGCCUCUGGGGCAGAGGUCAGCACGGA
Phyllostomus hastatus (greater spear-nosed bat) is the source of this 3709-nucleotide long non-coding RNA. RefSeq lists it as uncharacterized. NCBI's taxonomy places the organism in Eukaryota, Metazoa, Chordata, Mammalia, Chiroptera, Phyllostomidae. The record is from RefSeq and is a predicted model, not a curated record. The transcript is spliced from 6 exons.